GUCUACGGCCAUACCACCCUGAACGCGCCCGAUCUCGUCUGAUCUCGGAAGCUAAGCAGGGUCUGGCCUGGUUAGUACUUGGAUGGGAGAAUCUAUGUGUGCUUUGUACC
Ribosomal RNA from Mesocricetus auratus (golden hamster), 110 nucleotides. The record is from Ensembl. Lineage: Eukaryota; Metazoa; Chordata; Mammalia; Rodentia; Cricetidae.